GACGAACGCUGGCGGCGUGCCUAAUACAUGCAAGUAGAACGCACAGUUUAUACCGUAGCUUGCUACACCAUAGACUGUGAGUUGCGAACGGGUGAGUAACGCGUAGGUAACCUGCCUGGUAGCGGGGGAUAACUAUUGGAAACGAUAGCUAAUACCGCAUAAUAUUGAUUAUUGCACGAUAAUUGAUUGAAAGAUGCUAUUGCAUCACUACCAGAUGGACCUGCGUUGUAUUAGCUAGUAGGUGAGGUAACGGCUCACCUAGGCGACGAUACAUAGCCGACCUGAGAGGGUGAUCGGCCACACUGGGACUGAGACACGGCCCAGACUCCUACGGGAGGCAGCAGUAGGGAAUCUUCGGCAAUGGACGAAAGUCUGACCGAGCAACGCCGCGUGAGUGAAGAAGGUUUUCGGAUCGUAAAGCUCUGUUGUAAGAGAAGAACGGGUGUGAGAGUGGAAAGUUCACACUGUGACGGUAUCUUACCAGAAAGGGACGGCUAACUACGUG
RNAcentral lists this ribosomal RNA (505 nucleotides) under uncultured bacterium. Its description in RNAcentral is "partial 16S ribosomal RNA". It matches the Rfam family "Bacterial small subunit ribosomal RNA", at positions 28 to 507 of the family's 1533-position model. The record is from RNAcentral.